UCGUUUAAAGCCAUUACGUCAACGUCCUUAACGAAUGUAAUCACGUUCUAACCUAUUGAAGUCAACUUAGAUGACCGUAAGCACGCUUUCGGCACCCAGUUAACCAACAGAGGUCAGAGGAUAGCCCAAAGGGUAUUCGUUGCAAUCCUCGGUCCCAAACACCACAUCUACCAAAGGUAUAACACUUCAACCGAGAUCGAAGCUACAUUCCUCCGAUCAUUUUAUGGCGUCCAAAAC
Molecule: ribosomal RNA, 237 nt
Filed under: uncultured Glomeromycotina
Lineage: Eukaryota; Fungi; Glomeromycota
Description: partial 28S ribosomal RNA
Source: RNAcentral